UUGCAAACUGAACAUCAGCUUCUCUUGCAGUAUAGACAUACGAUGAAAUGAUAGCAUCUAUGUUCAAACCAAAAACACAUUGGUGCCCUUAUUUGUCUUCAACCUUGAACAUCCCAGGGGGCAGAAUUCAGGAGUACUGUAUUCUCAAUGCAAUAGGACACAAAUGAAAAAUCAAGGUGUAGUUAGGCUUCACAUUCAAGUGCCAAACAUUAAUACCUUGAGGCAUCUCUGUAAUUUGCAAUAUAUCAGCAAACUAAAGGAAUAAAAACUAACCCUUAAAAAUAAGGAAGUACAUUUUUUUAUAAUGAGGUAUAGUAUCACGUACCUAAAGGUAUGGAUGUUUCCAUGUCUGGCUAUAUGUUCAUCCAACAGUAAGCAUGCCCCCAGUUUCAAUCAAUUUUUUUUUAGCAAGCACGCCCUCUAGGGAAACAGCACCACGGUAAUCCUGAAUUGUAGAUAGAAUGCAAGUCAUUUCAUAUUUCCGUAGAUUUAAGUAAGUAUAUGAUUAUUUGUGAAAUGGUAGAACCCUACAGUAGAAGAACAACAAAUAGCAGUCAUUCAAUUGUAUCAGUCUCAUGUAUUAGAUCAACCCCAUGGUAUUCAGAGUCGAAUGAUACUGUCAAGCGAAUGACAUACUUGAAAUUAAACAAGAAUAUCCCCCGUUUCUACAAAACAAUCAUAGGAAGUAAUAGAAAAUUACCAAUAAAUUCAUAUACUAAACUAACAUGAGCUUGAAAGAGAGAUCCAGGGUUGUAGUUUGACGAUUCAUCUCGUCAAAUGUAUGACGAUUCAUCUGGUCAAGGGUAUGUUCAGAGGUAUUUAAGUCUAUUAAGCUACUGGAUAGUAUUUUAGUAUGAUCUUUGGGUGCUUCUUUUCUCUUAUUAGAUAGAUCACUUCAGUUUCGCAAUUUCUCUUGACAUUCCAAUAAUUGCCCUACUAAUAUUUCCAGUCUGUUGCACUCUAUAUGCAUAGUGACUUGAUUUUUCCACAUUUGUGCCUGCAAAAUCUGGUGCAAAUCAUUCAAAAUGAGAUUUGACGAGGAUAGGCUUCCCCCGCUAUUUUAGAUACAACAUUUAUAAAUGAUGCUACAUGUUCUGCUACUAAUAAUAUAGCAUAUGAAAAUAAAUGUUGCACUUUGAAAGCUACACAGACAGAGCACUACUACUUGUGUAGACUAAUCUUUUUUUCCUUAUCGAUAGCUACCACUUGCUUACAUGAAGCUAUAACUGUGUGUUUGCUCCCAAGACUGAGACAAGAGAAACUAGCUCUUGAGAUUUUAUACUGCUUGUAUUCUCCAUGAAUUUUGAUUACAAACCAGAGAGGAGGUGGAAGGGAACAAGCAUUUUGUUAACUCUUUGCUAGCAACUCUAUUGUUUUCAGAUCUGUUUGCCCAUAGGAUGUUCUUAAGAUGAAUACUCUGUAUCGACUGAACCAUGUAAUUUUUUCAAGUAGGUUUACAAUAAUAAUGUUAGACUAAUUUUGGUUUGUUCUAGGUUUAUGUGGCAGGAUGGUCCUGAUGAACACGCUGAAGAAACACGCUUGCCUCUCCACCAGGAAAACACUUUGUAGAGAUAGUGGAGGCCUGGAAACAAUGGAAAAUACGAAACAAGUCCUACUUACAUGAUCUAGGUUGACAUAGUGAUCGCAGACCUCAAACAGUUUGAGUGCAGAAUUCGUCCUGAGCACACAAAGGCGUCCUCAUUGUUAUUCACUGCUACUUGCACUUGUAAUAUCUGUUUUCGUACCUUUUUGUGCUCGGCCAAAAUGGCAUAAGCCUCUGUACAUAUGCCAUGCAAAUAAUUCUGCUGCUGUAAUUCCAAUUUUUUUUUGCCUGUCAUGGUAGUGCCCAACUCAUAUAUGUAUAUGUGUUGCUGAAAA
This is a long non-coding RNA of Lolium perenne, 1878 nucleotides long. RefSeq lists it as uncharacterized. The record is from RefSeq and is a predicted model, not a curated record. NCBI's taxonomy places the organism in Eukaryota, Viridiplantae, Streptophyta, Magnoliopsida, Poales, Poaceae.